RNAcentral lists this ribosomal RNA (492 nucleotides) under uncultured bacterium. RNAcentral's name for it is "partial 16S ribosomal RNA". It matches the Rfam family "Bacterial small subunit ribosomal RNA", at positions 29 to 507 of the family's 1533-position model. The record is from RNAcentral.
AGUGAACGCUGGCGGUAGGCCUAACACAUGCAAGUCGAACGGCAGCACAGUAAGAGCUUGCUCUUACGGGUGGCGAGUGGCGGACGGGUGAGGAAUACAUCGGCAUCUACUUUUUCGUGGGGGAUAACGGAGGGAAACUUACGCUAAUACCGCAUACGACCUACGGGUGAAAGCAGGGGAUCUUCGGACCUUGCGCGAUUGAAUGAGCCGAUGUCGGAUUAGCUAGUUGGCGGGGUAAAGGCCCACCAAGGCGACGAUCCGUAGCUGGUCUGAGAGGAUGAUCAGCCACACUGGAACUGAGACACGGUCCAGACUCCUACGGGAGGCAGCAGUGGGGAAUAUUGGACAAUGGGCGCAAGCCUGAUCCAGCCAUACCGCGUGGGUGAAGAAGGCCUUCGGGUUGUAAAGCCCUUUUGUUGGGAAAGAAAAGCAGCAGGUUAAUACCCCGCUGUUCUGACGGUACCCAAAGAAUAAGCACCGGCUAACUUCGUG